This 66-nucleotide transfer RNA is filed under the name Lepidotrema longipenis. RNAcentral describes it as "tRNA-Ala". The record is from RNAcentral. Lineage: Eukaryota; Metazoa; Platyhelminthes; Monogenea; Dactylogyridea; Diplectanidae.
AACGGCAUAGUUUAAAUUAAAAUAUUUAUUUUGCAGAUAAAAGAUAAUUUAUUAAAUUUGUUGUUC